This 538-nucleotide long non-coding RNA is filed under the name Sorghum bicolor (sorghum). RNAcentral's name for it is "long non-coding RNA (SBIC_LNC008432)". Lineage: Eukaryota; Viridiplantae; Streptophyta; Magnoliopsida; Poales; Poaceae. The record is from RNAcentral.
GCAUCAAGUGCUCUAGUCUUUAUAACGCUAGAGUAGUAAUUAAUAGAUUAGACGUGGUGUUUAGUCUUGCGAUUACCUGGAAUUGCACCCAAUCCUAUGGAUUGUUGUGGUAGCCCUAGGGUAGUGACAGCCCUAACGGUCGACGUAUUCCACCACAUUCGGAUCGGUGUUUGUAGGACCGUAGUCAGACCUUCCUAGCCGCCUUCUCAUCUCUUUCUGUGGUUAGUGCUCUGAUGUCCCGAUAUAGAUAAUCUUGAAGUAAUUCUUGAUUCUUAGAUCAGCUAGAGAACUCUCAGGAAACUUCCUCUCUUCCCACCAAAAAUAAUUAUAUAGUUAUCCUUGGGCGAUCUUGGAUCUUAAUUAGUACACUCACGUUCUAUGUGGAAAAUCGAUACUCUGGAAUACUCCCGGGUGAAGGCUACAUCGGUAUCCGUGCACUUGCGGAUUUUUCUGUUUGCGUUUAAAAUACCCAACAGUCCCGUCACCAAGCUGCUCCUUGUCCCAAUAGUAGCGAGGUUCCCUUCCUUUGGGAUACCCC